UUUUUUGUGGCGUUAUAUAUAAUGCAAUAGUAGUAGCAAUAGUAGUAGCACCAGUCAAAGCAGUAGCAACAGUAGCAAUAACAGUAUUAGCAAUCGUAGUAGUAACAGUGAUAGUAGCAGUAGUAAAAAUAGUAACAGUAGUAGCAAUAGCAGUAGUAAUAGCAGUAACAAUAGCAGUAGCAACAGUAGUAAUAACGGUAUUAGAAGUAGUCGUAGUAACAGUGAAAGUAGUAAUAGUAGCAGCAGCAGUAACAGCAGCAGUAGAAGUAUUAGCAGCAGCAGUAGUAGUAGUGGUAGUAGUAGUAGUAGUAGAAAUAAAAGU
This 322-nucleotide long non-coding RNA is filed under the name Carica papaya (papaya). RNAcentral's name for it is "long non-coding RNA (CPAP_LNC000742)". The record is from RNAcentral. Lineage: Eukaryota; Viridiplantae; Streptophyta; Magnoliopsida; Brassicales; Caricaceae.